This 253-nucleotide ribosomal RNA is filed under the name uncultured bacterium. Its description in RNAcentral is "partial 16S ribosomal RNA". It matches the Rfam family "Bacterial small subunit ribosomal RNA", at positions 524 to 776 of the family's 1533-position model. The record is from RNAcentral.
UACGUAGGGUCCGAGCGUUGUCCGGAAUUACUGGGCGUAAAGAGCUCGUAGGUGGUUUGUCGCGUUGUUCGUGAAAACUCACAGCUCAACUGUGGGCGCGCGGGCGAUACGGGCAGACUGGAGUACUGCAGGGGAGUCUGGAAUUCCUGGUGUAGCGGUGGAAUGCGCAGAUAUCAGGAGGAACACCGGUGGCGAAGGUGGGUCUCUGGGCAGUAACUGACGCUGAGGAGCGAAAGCGUGGGGAGCGAACAGG